GCUGGGCGCGGUGGUGUGUGCCUGUAGUCCCAGCUACUCAGGAGGCUGAGGCAGGAGAAUUGCUUGAACCCAGGAGGCGGAGGUUGCAGUGAGCCAAGAUCACGCUACUGCAUUCCAACCUGGGCAACAGAGCAAGACUCCGUCUCUU
Pongo abelii (Sumatran orangutan) is the source of this 148-nucleotide unclassified non-coding RNA. It matches the Rfam family "Metazoan signal recognition particle RNA". Rfam says of the family: The signal recognition particle (SRP) is a universally conserved ribonucleoprotein. It is involved in the co-translational targeting of proteins to membranes. The record is from Ensembl. Lineage: Eukaryota; Metazoa; Chordata; Mammalia; Primates; Hominidae.